CAUAAUCUUUUUUCUAUAUUUCAGCCUGAUUAACAUCAUAGCUCAAUGAUAAGGAUUGGUGAGACAACAGAGAUGAAAAACUCGAACUUUUCAGUGGAUAUUGAUGACAUUGAAUAAGAGAACUUGCAAAAAGUUUCAAUUUAGUUAACCUAUAACCAAAACACUUUCACUUUCCAGAUUCAAUAAGUACAGUGGUAAGUAAAACCCACGUAAGGCUUUUUUAAGCACUCUAUGAACAGCAUUAUCGAAUUUACAAGGUAAUCAAAUUUCAAAUGAAGUACUCACACACAGAUGCAAUUCUAGAAACAAUAAUAUAUUACAUAGAAGAAAGGCAAUUUGUGGGUUUUGCUGUGAUCGAUGAAUGAACGUGACAAAAAGAAGAAGGCAAUUUAUCAUUAGAGAGAUUGAGAUUAACUCACGCUAGAGCUUGCUCCAGCAAAAGACGCCGAGACACAGAGAGUUCACCAAAGGGUCGAGAAGACGAGAGAGACAUCAUAACGACGUCGUUUAGUCUUGCUAUUAAACCCUAAUUAAUUGACAAUUAAAUAAAUAGCGUGAAAACAUAAAAAGUUUAUUCGGACGACAACUAAACCCUACACUACACCAGAGCCCAAAAAAUCGCGCCUUUCAGGAUUUUGUCCGGCGAAUAA
RNAcentral lists this non-coding RNA (650 nucleotides) under Dimorphocarpa wislizeni (touristplant). The record is from RNAcentral. Lineage: Eukaryota; Viridiplantae; Streptophyta; Magnoliopsida; Brassicales; Brassicaceae.